Non-coding RNA from Meleagris gallopavo (turkey), 8976 nucleotides. The record is from RefSeq and is a predicted model, not a curated record. Lineage: Eukaryota; Metazoa; Chordata; Aves; Galliformes; Phasianidae.
GUCACCUCCCAAAACCAGAGAGGUUAAGAGAAACCCUUCAGAGCCCAAACCCCACUGCAAGGUUUUCUUUCUCAAUCCAGAGACAGAGAAAAUCAAUAGAAAGCUGAAAAAGGCUGAAGCUUCAACUCAGGUGUUCCCAAAGACAAGGACACACCCACAGCAGACACACAACAAGGCUUAAUCUAAGGUGCAUAGUGCUGUGUCAGUUCUCAUGUUUACUAUUUUUAUGAUUGCAUCCUAAAGCAAUUGGUCUUUUGAUCCGUUAGCUGCUGCUUGGGGAAAAAAAAAUAAAGCUCGCAUAGAAAAUAACAAAAUUUUCUGGCUGGAGGCCAAAGCUUCACAAGAGAAGGCUAAGGCCUAAUAUGUUUUGUUUAAGGUCUUUGUUUCUGAUAGAUGUUGACUGGAUUCGGGAGGAUGACGGCACUUCGAACAAAGCCAGCUGGGGAAGUCAGUUCGUUAAGUAUUAACCCUCUGAGGUGUAGAUUGAACUGUGCAUGAGAAACAUUCUGAGAAAACAUCAAAAGUAGUGUAGAUCUCUUCUGAGAAGAAGUACUGUGGCUUGUAUUUAUAUCGGAAAAGGUGGAGAUGAUUUGUUGCAUAUGUGACCGAAUUCCACAGGAUGGGUAACUGUCCAGAACUCAUUUUCUCCCUGUAGCAUACUUCAGCAGUCCCAAGGCUGACAUAAGCCUAAUGUUCAGGAAUUACGUUAGGGAAUUAGUAGAAGUUAGGUAUUUAGUGUGAUAUAAAUCGUAGAGGUGAAAAAAGACUGUUGUGAGCCUGCUGGACAUGUUUUAAUAACGCAAACUAAGAUUUCACAGGUGUAAGCUGGGAGAGGAACAUUGAACUCUAUACUCUGCUUUAGAAAAUGUUAUUCUGAAAGUACUGUGAUAAAUAUUCAGAUACCUAAUGUAAAAAGAGGUUAAAAAAAAAAAAGUUUAAAAAGAAGGACACCAAGAAAACAACAAAAGAACCACCUUAUUGGGGAAGUGACUACACAGCACAUGCAGGUGUUGUGCAAACAGAGUACAGGAGAAGUUAAACACAGGCAGUGUUUAAGUACAGUGCAAUUUUGUGCUUAACUUGUGGCCAGUCUUAGCUAUAAAAUGAAAAGGAUGCAUUAAAAAUGAUUAUGAAAAUAAAAAUCCUGCCUCAAAAAACAAAGAUGGGGUCAGAAAAGAAAUUUAGAAUCAACUUCCACCAUUUGCUUGACCCGUUGCAGAUCUUUCCCUUCUUGAUGCAUUGGUUGCAGCACAGGACGUCAGCUCUCAGCAAGCAAGUGCCAAAACAGAUGUAACAGAAUGUGUAAUUGUUUAAAACUAACUGCUCACGUGUGAUGCUGGACUGAUUUUUGUUUUGUUCCCUCGUAAUUCAGUGUAUUGUCAUUUUAGGUAUCAGACUGAUAGGGAAAAGUCUUGUUGUUGCUAGGCAAGCUGUUUAAAGCUGAAUUGCUUAACAAUUAUUUUAAUAUCAGAGAUGUGUGUAUUUUUGACUUGCUAAUGCUGUAGGUGGUAUUACAGGCUUAGCAAAAGUAGCCAGCAGGCAAUACGGCGAUCAGCAGCUUGCCUUCUGAGCUUGCCCAUCAUUUGGAACUCUAGUUGCGUUGCUGCAACUUGUCUGUGUGUGUAUUGACAGCUAUUACAAAUGAUGAAAUGAAGUCAUUAUAAAGCGUGCCCUUUCCAGAAUGCUGCUUUAGUCUCCUGUCCCUACCAGGACUGAUUUAAAUUGCAGCUGGUUAUGUAAAAUGGACACUUAGAGUAUUGUUAUUGGAAAGCAUGAAGCUCAACCUUUUCAGAGUGAUCAAGAAUGCGAUUCUUAAUACGUUACAGUACGCUUCAAGAUCAAAGGCGAAAUGCACGCAUUUCGACAGGAAUUAAUGCCCCAACUCCUGCUGGUAAAGUGCCGGUUGUGUGAGAUGCCUUAGGUUGUGGGUCCUGCUGAAAAAACAAACAAACAAACCACCAAAUCAAGUGGAAUUUUGGACAUGUGUGGGCAUGCAUUGCUUAGGCAGCUAAAGUAGCAGUAACAAACAUGUGGCCAAAUGACAGCAGAGCAACAGUCCUCGACUCCAAGAAUCAAAUUGCAAAAUCAGUGUUUUAUUAUUAGUGGAAAAACCCCUUUGCAGUAACAGUUUGAAGUACUUCAUUCCAUCACUGUUUAGGUGCUUCUAAGGACAGAGAGAUAGAUGUUUUGCCAAAAAUUUGUCUGUCGAUUUAAUUUCCGGAGAUAUUUUUUCAAACUAAAUUUGAAGAAAUUUUGCUCUCAAUUCAGGAUAAUAGCAAUAAAAGGAAGGAGCUAAAAUAUGGUGUAAUGAAAUGGAUGAAGAAGCUGUAUUUUUAGUUUGGUAUUGGGUUAAAACAUGAAAUUACUAUCCAAGACUCGUUGAAUUACAGCAUUGUUAUGGUGUUAUAUUAAGGCAUUAACAACCUUUCAAAAUCUUUGGUAUUGUUUAUUAAAAAAUGAGAUGAAGUCAACUUCAAUUUAAAAUGAUCUCUAGCACUGUUCAUGCUUUAUUUUGUGUCCAAUUAUUAUGUUUAAACAUGUUUUCCUAGACGAAUAAAAUACACUCUGACUUGCAGUCUCCACUAACUUUUGCUUUUAAAGUCAAGAUUCUUGGCUUGCCUUUUGCUCAUUCCAACUUUGCAGUGUCUGUCAUGUCCUCUCUUGCAGUUCUCAUGGUCAUAAAAGCAGAAUGUGAAACUGAAGGUUAAAGAUAAAUGCUUGAGUUUAACCAAUACAGCUACUGUUGCCUUAAGGACUUACUUCUGAAGGCAGAGGUUGGAUCAUUCUGUUUCGGAGCAGAACACCCUCAGAUCAGCAGAAAGAAGCAAACAACAAGUUCCAUUUGGGAGUGCCUGCUGAUCUGUUCUCCCAGCAGGAGCUGUCAUCCUGCCCAAGAAAUCUCUGGUGGACCAUAUCAACCAGAUCGCUUUCGUCCACAUGUUUGCUGACCUCGUCAAAAAGCACUUGAGAGGCCUGGAAGGUAAAUACUAAGUUUAGAGAUUAUGUGUUGACGCUGCCCAAACAGGUCCUAUUUAUCCAACUGCACACUAAUUCUAGCCCUUAUUGCUGUUUCUGCAACUUUGCGUGGUUCAAAGUCCUGGUGGCCUUCAGCAUCAUCCACCUUGUCUCCCUCCCUUUUGCCCCCAGAACAAUUUUAGAAAUUGGUGUCACACUGCUGCUCUCUGUGCUCAGAGAAAGCUUGAAGAGAAAGUUUACAUGCUGCCAUUAGCAGCUACUUACCCACGCUUCCCUAUGAAGCUCAGGUGCCUAGCAUAUUUCCUGGGGAUUUCUGCUCCUCAUGUUUUAGGUUCCAGCUGUUCUCAAUAGGCUCAGGUUCAGGCAGAGGCUCUGCUGACUCUCUCAGAAAUAAGGGUUCAAGUACAGGAAUCACCUGCUUAUUGCAGUGUGUACAUGCAUAUGCCUGUCAUGUGGUUUUCUCUAUAAAUGUUUUGGCCUCUCUUCUCUUUUAUUCUGCAGAUGUCUUUGGUCCACCAGACUCCAGUGGUCUUGAUCUUGGUCUUGAUGUAUCUGGAAAGGAUUUAAUAUUAGCUUUGAUUUCUCUUGCUAGGUGCUGUUCACGGUUUUUAUUGCUCUGUCACUGUGUUUUCCUUUUCAUGUAUCAGUUUGUGAUUCUGGCCUUUGGUUUUUCAUUUGGAGAUGAAUUCAACUUCUUGCUUAUGAUAGCCUGUCUUGUGGUCACACUGUCCUGUGUCUGCUUUCUUUUAGUGCUUCUCAAGACGUUAGCAGCUGUGCUGCAUAUCCUUACCAUUUCAAGCUGCUCCUUUCUGUUUCCUUUUCACAAGUUUUGUCAUGUCUGUAUCUCUGUUCUUUCUGAAGCUGGGUGUAGCCGCUGUAAUGCUUGGACUUUGUUAAACCUGGGGAAUUCUGAAUGUAAGUACCAGAACAGCAACCCCAGCCAUAAGUGGAAGAUCUAGUGGAAGAUCUUGCUCACUAAUGAGGACCAAGUGAAAGACUCUCCCAUGACUUCCUUGUCCAACUGCUCUGUGAAAUUACAUUUAAUGGAGUCAAUGAUUGUUACCCAAAGUACUGUUUCUGCAGAUUCAGCACAAUGUACACUUAAAGCUAGCAUUUCAGUCCAUGCAGAGCCCGUGUCACCUGGUGGGCUUUUGCUAUGUUCCUUCGAUCUCAGCGAUCACUGGCAAAAAUCCCUACCUUAUACAGCUAGAGUGACUCUUGUGUUUUCCAUUUAUUUUAUGUCUGGUACUGUGAUGUCCAAUCUGCCUGGUAUGCCACUGUCUUCAUCUAAAAUUUCCCUCCCUCAUUUUUUUCUCUGUUUUUGUAUCAUUUUUAUUGUUGUUGGUGUCCUUUCUUUCCUCAUUUCCUAUUUAAAAGGCACUCUGUCCAUUUUCCACUCACUAUUUCUGUACUCUAGCCUCUUCUGCAGUCAACAAAAGCAGAAUUUCUAUGCCUUUGCUCACGGCAAACUGCUGCUUCGCCAUAAUGGCUGCUCUUCAAUUUAUAGCUCAGUCGUAUUCUUCAUGACUUUAAGUGCCAGCGGUGUAGACCCCAGUAAGUCCAUCCUCUCCACACAAGCUCUUUUAAUCCCAGAUGUGCUCCACAUCAAUCUGAAAUGUUGCUCUUUUUACCAUCCUCUUAGUGACACUUUGAAAAUUUGCUUCUUGCUAGUCACACACACAGGGCAGCGGGGAUAGCUCUGUUGGGGAAGGUCUCAUCCGUGUUGUCCUCCAGCAAAGUGAAUUUUCCUCCAGAGGCAUGUGAAAAGAUAAACCACAGCUUCCUUCCCCUCUUAGAGAAUUGAGUCCCUUCCUCUUUUAGAGUAGUGACUGGCUUUGCAUGGGUAAGAACAAAAAGAGCCCCAUCAGUCAUUUAAUUUCAAAAGCCCUUCUACCCAAACAAGUUUUUAUUUCCUGAAGAACAGUGCCCAAAUUAUAAUUGAUGAACUUUUAAAUCAUCCCACCAAACUUUUUUUUUUUUGCAUUAAGUUUGUUGUGUUACCAAAUAUUAUUUUAGUAGCCAGAUCCCACAAACAUAUUGUGAAAAUGAUCUUACAUUACAACAGAAAAUAGCUUUUGAGAAGAUACUGAAUGUAUUAAUUGUCAGUAGAUCUACAAUACCGAGGCACAGUUUCCAUUAAAAAUUUAGGUUUCUGCAGUGUCAGAAACCUUUACUUAAAGUGCCGCAAAAAUGUAUCAUUUGACUCUCCCUUUAGGGUCUUUAGCAGUCCUCCAAAUGUUAAAGCACUGCUUUUAUUAUUUUGUUGUUGUUCCAAGUGCACAUACAAAUCCCAGCAGGAAUCAGGGCCAAACCAACACACACAGAAGACGUUCCCCUCCAUAAAGAGAGAAGAUGCAGCAGAGUGGACGUGUCCACAUGCCCUUCUUUGUCCUGUUUCUCAAUCCUGUUUCUAGUAUUUCAGGAGGCUUUGUCUAAUCUGAGUUUGAAUAUGCAGCAGGACAGAACUUGGCAGUCACUUUUGAGUAAAAAGAAGGCUCGUAUUACAAUGAAGGUUUGUAAUUCCUUUUACGAAUUCUGGAAAUUACCUACUGUGUUUCUGUGUACUGGGAGAAAGAACAUUCUAAAAUGCUGUAGUAACAUCAAACAUAUUUUUCUUUAAAUGCUGAAACUUGAAGAGAGUAAGGAUUCCUAACAAUAACAGACCCGUCAAGCCCAACUAAGAACUCAGAACCUUGGAACACGUGCAAGAGGUUCGUGUAGAUUGUUAAAGAAAGGUAAAGAAUAUGUAAAAAUUCAGAUUGUGUGGUUUCAUCAUAACCUGAUUGUAACAAUGACCGUUUCAUAACAUGUUAGAAGGGUAGGCUGCUGCAACAAGAAAUCUGAAGAAACAGUAAAGAUAUGCUGUUUUUCUUUCUGUUCCCAUUUCGCUAAAAGCUAAAAAUUCAUUAAAGCCCACAAAAGCCAGAUAAAACAGCAAGCCAGCAAAUGGGGUAAGUGUCCACAAAACAAAAAAAAAAAGACCAUCCAGGUGGAGUUAAUGCAACAAAAAAAUAACCAGAGUAUUGCUUAAGGAUUUUCUCUGAUCUCUCUGCACCCAGAUCAGUUGCUGGAUGCUUCAUACCUCCCUUUCAGUUUUACUGUUUGUUUUUCCAUGGCCACAUAUGGAAUUAACCAAGCCAAACUUUCUUUAUGUGUCGAAAAAGAAUCAUUUGGCUUUUGGCCAUACUUACGGUAUUAGUUGAAGUUCUCUGAGUUUCUGUUUCAUUAAAGUACCUUUACACAUGCCCAGGGUUGGUAUUUUAAAGGGCUAACAGGCUCUCUACUAAAACCAGAGACAUGUUUUAAUACCAAACGUAUAAGCAGAACCUAGGUAGGAACAAAAUAUUUUCUCCUCCAGCAAAUCUCUCAAGCCCUCAUCUGUUUUGCUUUGUUGUGUUUCCUGUGAAGUCCUGGAUAUUGCAAGCACUGAUGUUGCAAGGUGGAAAAAGUAAUAAACAACUCUUGUUCCCUGUUUAGAUGUCCCAGUUUCAAAGUCACUUCUGAGGGGACCAGAGAGGGCAAGAAAUUACCAUCUCCAAUGCCUCUUCCCACUCCUGGGAGAUGCUGGAAGUAGCAAAUCCUUUUUCAGCAUUCCCUUUGUGCUCACUGCCACGUGGAUGCUUUCAACCCAGCCAGAAAAACCAGAUUACAAAGUGUUGUUUGUAAAAGAGGGAGGAAGUCUGCUCAGGCAAAGUACCUAUUAAGUAUGGUGAGCAGAAGUGAGAUUGAGGUGGAGAUUUAUGGAUAGACAGGUGUUGACGCUUUCUGCAGGUAAUGCUAUUGUUAAAAACAUAUGGGUGCUAUAAACAUAUGGGCAUGAAAGCAAAGAAGAUAUCUGUUGAUGAACAAGAAAGACUGCUAGAAAUAAACAGCUCUUAGUCAUGAUGUUGGCACCUCCAAAGGCUUUUUGAUUGUAAAGGCAAAGUCAUCUGCUUGGAAGCAGGAGGAAAGGCUGCUGUUGUAGAGUCUCCCUGCACCUGAAGUUCUCUAUCUGUUACUCUAUAGGAAUGCUUGAAGUCUGUUCUGCUGUGUGUGCUGCUCUGCAGUGAGCUGUAGUUAUGGAUGGGGACAGGAAACAUUUGUGGUUUGCAAUACAGAAACUGUUCACCUGUUAUGCUGUGAGUACAUUCAAAGAGCAGUUCACAUCAGACGCAGAAGCCUCAUCCAUAAUGCCAGCAUGAAUCCUUUUAGAAAUAGUCUUUGACACUGCUUUAAUUUUUAUAAGCUUUCUACAGAACACUGUAGAAGAUUCUUAAAGGUUAUCAUAUGACACAAACGCAGAUAUUAUUUCCUAUGCUAUUUCCUCCUCUAUACUGGUUUGUUGGUUGGUUUUACUGGCCUUGUUUGCUUCGUUGGUUUUGCUUUCAUUUGCAAAGUAAUCAUUCCAGGUACAACCAUCUACCUUGAGGAAUUACUUUCUCAUUCUCCUUUGCAAAAUCUGGUGUAAUAAAAACAGGAAAGACCUUCUUCUAUAAGUGAGAGGCACGUUAUUUAGGUGGGAGGGCAAGCGAGUUCAACAGAGAGAAGGCUGUUUGAAAUACUGCCUUUGAAAGCUGGCUUCCUUAGGAAGAGAUGUGCAGAAACCAGGCACUGUCAGUAGUGGGGGACAGCGCGGCAUCAGAUUGCACAGCAUUUGCUUAGACAAAUCACACAGAGCCCAAGCCCACCAAUGGGUUAACAACCACAAUUUACUUAGCUUUUAGCUGAUCAUUUCCACAGAACAUUGUCCUGCAAUUUUUUUUAAUCAUGGUAGAAGGAUAAAAAAGAAAGAAACAAACAAAAAGUACGUGUUUUUUUUUUUUAAUGUCCUUGAUAUAAAAAGUAGUAAAACUACUAUAUGUACGGUAUAUGGCUUUCAGUAACUUUCUGUUUUUGAACUUCUGUCAUCAAAGCAGAGCUGCCUUAAUUGUGCUGGUUCAGUAAAGCAGGUGUACAGAUCUGAGUCUGUAUAUCCUCACCUGUCUGCUGCUUGGCUGGGGAAGAAGGGAACUAUGCAUUUUGCUGUGUUCACUCAGUUCCUGGUCAGGCAACACCCUCGCUCCUGCCUUCCCCGGGUGGCCAGAUUCCUGCAUGAUGGGCACAUCUGAAACACAUAAAGCAAGCUGCGUGCUGCCCUUCCCAGCUCAGUGAAGAUCUAAUGUUUCUCUCCCUGAAUGACUUCUCCUCUAAGUCUAAUCAAAAUAGAUGUUUCAUAGCCAAAAUGUUUUUUCCUUGCAACUUUGCAAGUGCUUUCUUGCACAGCUGGGGUUGCAGCCUUUCCAGGUCAGCAAUGAAUCACUGAAUCUCAAGCUACAACCAGGCACAAUUUUAUUUCACAUACUUUCUGUCGGCUCUCCUUCUUUCUCUUCCCCUCCUUCGGGCCAACUGGUCGCCCUUCUCUUUGUUGCUUUUAUUUUUGGUUUCUGCAACUUCCUGUGCUCAGCAUCAUCAUUUUCUCAGCAGCAGCUAUUUCAGCUGCUCCCAACCCCAUUUCCUCCCCCUUCUCUGGCACAACUGGAUCAGCUCACUGCAAUUUUAUCUUCCAGUGACUUGAAAACGCCAACUCUUAGAAAGCACUGAAGCAACUGGGACCUGUGGGCAUGGCCUGCUGGCACACCCUAUGGGGGAUGGCCUGUGGGCAUGGCGGGUGCUGUCAGCAGGGCCCUGCAGCCCUCACAGCACAACGCAGCCCAUGGCCAUGCUGCUGGGAGGGCUGAGGGGUGGCAUAUGCAAACUGUGAUGUAAUCCAAUUUCCGUUCUUUUACUUCGACGUCUGCUAUUAUUGGUGCUCCUUUUCUUCUAUCGCUUUUUAAAAACUUUUAACUCUAAUUGCCAUAUAUUAAUUAGCUCAGGUUUGUCAAUUUUUCACUCUUUGUCCUCUUGGAAUUUUCACUCCAUUUCCUUUUGAUUUUAGUUACUUUUUUGUUACUUUUCUUGGAUUCUGUUGGAGUAAUUAAGUCAGCUUCUCCUUUUUUGUUCUUUAUUUUCCCCCAUUUUGCAAGGCUUUUUUCCUCACUCCAC